AUACAGAGGGUGCAAGCGUUAUUCGGAAUCACUGGGCGUAAAGCGCGCGCAGGCGGCUAUUUAAGUUGGAUGUGAAAGCCUACGGCUCAACCGUAGAACUGCAUCCAAAACUAUUUAGCUAGAGUGUGGGAGAGGAAGAUGGAAUUAGUUGUGUAGGGGUAAAAUCCGUAGAGAUAACUAGGAAUACCAAAAGCGAAGGCAAUCUUCUGGAACACUACUGACGCUGAGGCGCGAAAGCGUGGGGAGCAAACGGGAUUAGAAACCCCAGUAGUCC
RNAcentral lists this ribosomal RNA (274 nucleotides) under uncultured bacterium. RNAcentral's name for it is "partial 16S ribosomal RNA". It matches the Rfam family "Bacterial small subunit ribosomal RNA", at positions 523 to 796 of the family's 1533-position model. The record is from RNAcentral.